CCUGUACCCAAUUUGAGUCUGGAACAGGCCCGCAAGGCACUAAAGCUCAGAGGUGGGGGAGGGGGUGGAAAUCGAUCUAAUUGUUCUGUUAAAAAAAAACCAAACUGGAGCCUCCUGUAUGCAAUAGGCCUAUAAAUAACACCUCCAGCGUCUGCCUCUCCAGCCCCCCACGCUUCGGGCAACGAGGCAGAGAGGGCAGCCGCCUUCUCGACUCUUCCACACUCACCUGGCGCCUGCCUCUUCUUUGGGCCUGCUCUUCCUGUGACCAAGGAGAGGGGACAAGAGAAGAAAAUCAAGCCGGAGGAUCUGCGUCAGGAAACGCCAGCUCCGCAGACUCUCUCUCCAUCAGCGACGAUGCUGCGAUGACCAUCCCGUUGCCCAUCCUUCAGACACCUGCCUGAGAGCUCCCGUUUGUCUACUGCUGCUCAUGCGUGAAGGGCCAGGUGGACGCUCACAAAUCUGGGUUUCCCUGGAGUCAGGCAAUCCUACCUCCCCUACAGGAGGACUGACUGCAGGCUCCGUGUGAGAGGACAGCUACCUCCCUGGGCCGACUGCCCUGCAGCUUCACGGUCAGGGAACAACCAGGGUUGGGAGAACGUUAGGUAUUUCUCUCUCUCAUCCCUUGCUCUGGGGGAAACCAGAUGCCAC
Molecule: long non-coding RNA, 648 nt
Filed under: Equus caballus (horse)
Lineage: Eukaryota; Metazoa; Chordata; Mammalia; Perissodactyla; Equidae
Description: lncRNA (ENSECAG00000059854.1)
Source: RNAcentral